This 500-nucleotide ribosomal RNA is filed under the name uncultured bacterium. Its description in RNAcentral is "partial 16S ribosomal RNA". It matches the Rfam family "Bacterial small subunit ribosomal RNA", at positions 30 to 523 of the family's 1533-position model. The record is from RNAcentral.
AUUGAACGCUGGCGGAAUGCUUUACACAUGCAAGUCGAACGGCAGCACGGACUUCGGUCUGGUGGCGAGUGGCGAACGGGUGAGUAACAUAUCGGAACGUAUCCAAUAAUGGGGGAUAACGAGUCGAAAGAUUCGCUAAUACCGCAUACGCCCUACGGGGGAAAGCUGGGGACCUUCGGGCCUGGCGUUAAUGGAGCGGCCGAUAUCUGAUUAGCUAGUUGGUGAGGUAAAGGCCCACCAAGGCGACGAUCAGUAGCUGGUCUGAGAGGACGACCAGCCACACUGGAACUGGGACACGGUCCAGACUCCUACGGGAGGCAGCAGUGGGGAAUUUUGGACAAUGGGCGCAAGCCUGAUCCAGCCAUUCCGCGUGAGUGAAGAAGGCCUUCGGGUUGUAAAGCUCUUUCGCAAGGGAAGAAAACUUAGCCACUAACAUUGGUUGAGGUUGACGGUACCUUGAUAAGAAGCACCGGCUAACUACGUGCCAGCCGCCGCCGUAA